Molecule: ribosomal RNA, 334 nt
Filed under: uncultured eukaryote
Lineage: Eukaryota
Description: partial 18S ribosomal RNA
Rfam family: Eukaryotic small subunit ribosomal RNA
Source: RNAcentral
CCCUUAGAUGUCCGGGGCCGCACGCGCGCUACACUGAAGGAAUCAGCGUGGCUUUCUCCCUGACCCGAAAGGGUUGGGAAACCCGUUGAAUCUCCUUCGUGAUAGGGAUUGGGGCUUGAAAUUGUUCCCCAUGAACGAGGAAUUCCCAUUAAGCGCGAGUCAUAAGCUCGCGUUGAUUACGUCCCUGCCCUUUGUACACACCGCCCGUCGCUACUACCGAUUGAACGGUUUAGUGAGGGCCUCGGAUUGGUCUCGGCCCGCUCUUUACCGGGCGGCGCCGUUGGUCGAGAAGACGCUCGAACUUGAUCGUUUAGAGGAAGUAAAAGUCGUAACA